GCCUAGCCCUAAAUCUAGACGCUAACUCUACUCUAGCGUCCGCCCGAGAACUACGAGCAUAAACGCUUAAAACUCUAAGGACUUGGCGGUGCCCCAAACCCACCUAGAGGAGCCUGUCCUAUAAUCGAUAACCCACGAUAUACCCAACCCCCCCUAGCAAGGUCAGCCUACAUACCGCCGUCGCCAGCCCACCCUCACUGAGGGGAUAAUAGUGGACAAAAUAGCUCUUCGCUAAUAAGACAGGUCAAGGUAUAGCCUAUGGGGCGGAAGAGAUGGGCUACAUUUUCUAGCAGUAGAACAUUACGGAGCGGGGUGUGAAACCACUCCUAAAAGGUGGAUUUAGUAGUAAGAGGGGAUAAUAAAGCCCCUCUGAAGACGGGUCUGGGGC
RNAcentral lists this ribosomal RNA (388 nucleotides) under Rhynochetos jubatus (kagu). RNAcentral's name for it is "partial 12S ribosomal RNA". It matches the Rfam family "Bacterial small subunit ribosomal RNA", at positions 794 to 1380 of the family's 1533-position model. Lineage: Eukaryota; Metazoa; Chordata; Aves; Eurypygiformes; Rhynochetidae. The record is from RNAcentral.